RNAcentral lists this long non-coding RNA (393 nucleotides) under Homo sapiens (human). RNAcentral describes it as "HSALNT0132752". Lineage: Eukaryota; Metazoa; Chordata; Mammalia; Primates; Hominidae. The record is from RNAcentral.
CUGAGAAUUUCACGGGACAGAACUGGGCCAAAAGGAAGAAGACUGUUUGCGGCAGGAGGGUAGCAGAGGAGCAAGUGGUAAACAGAAGACAGAUAGAAGGCAGUAUUCUUCAGACCCCCAUACAUCACUGAAUGACAGCCCUGAUGAGGAAACUCAGGUCAAUUGUGGAAGAACAUAAAAUGCAAAACAUGAACUUGCAGAAAACAAGAGCCAAUCCCAUUUCUCUUCUGCAGCUGCACUGGAAAUGUGCGUCAGCUCAGUGUGUCACAGCAGAGAUACACGUGGACGGGGAAGCACAGCAGCUUGCAGGAAAGGCCUGGCUGGCAGAGAGCACCCAAAGAUGAACACAAUGAACAGUGAGGGUCUCACGCGAGGUGGCUGGGGCUGAGUGGC